RNAcentral lists this ribosomal RNA (393 nucleotides) under uncultured bacterium. Its description in RNAcentral is "bacterial SSU rRNA". It matches the Rfam family "Bacterial small subunit ribosomal RNA", at positions 28 to 422 of the family's 1533-position model. The record is from RNAcentral.
GACGAACGCUGGCGGCGUGCUUAACACAUGCAAGUCGAGCGGUAAGGCCCUUUCGGGGGUACACGAGCGGCGAACGGGUGAGUAACACGUGGGUGACCUGCCCUCAGCUCUGGGAUAAGCCUGGGAAACCGGGUCUAAUACCGGAUAUGACUCCAUGACGCAUGUUGUGGGGUGGAAAGCCUUGUGCGGCUGAGGAUGGGCCCGCGGCCUAUCAGCUUGUUGGUGGGGUGANGGCCUACCAAGGCGACGACGGGUAGCCGGCCUGAGAGGGCAACCGGCCACACUGGGACUGAGACACGGCCCAGACUCCUACGGGAGGCAGCAGUGGGGAAUCUUGCGCAAUGGGCGAAAGCCUGACGCAGCGACGCCGCGUGAGGGAUGACGGCCUCGGUG